RNAcentral lists this ribosomal RNA (372 nucleotides) under uncultured organism. Its description in RNAcentral is "bacterial SSU rRNA". It matches the Rfam family "Bacterial small subunit ribosomal RNA", at positions 526 to 896 of the family's 1533-position model. The record is from RNAcentral.
CGAAGGGUGCAAGCGUUACUCGGAAUUACUGGGCGUAAAGCGUGCGUAGGUGGUUCGUUAAGUCUGAUGUGAAAGCCCUGGGCUCAACCUGGGAAUAGCAUUGGAUACUGGCGACCUAGAGUGCGGUAGAGGGGUGUGGAAUUCCCGGUGUAGCAGUGAAAUGCGUAGAUAUCGGGAGGAACACCUGUGGCGAAGGCGACACCCUGGACCAGCACUGACACUGAGGCACGAAAGCGUGGGGAGCAAACAGGAUUAGAUACCCUGGUAGUCCACGCCCUAAACGAUGCGAACUGGAUGUUGGGUGCAACUUGGCACUCAGUAUCGAAGCUAACGCGUUAAGUUCGCCGCCUGGGAAGUACGGUCGCAAGACUG